This 870-nucleotide ribosomal RNA is filed under the name uncultured Bacillota bacterium. Its description in RNAcentral is "bacterial SSU rRNA". It matches the Rfam family "Bacterial small subunit ribosomal RNA", at positions 9 to 873 of the family's 1533-position model. Lineage: Bacteria; Bacillati; Bacillota. The record is from RNAcentral.
GCCCUUAGAGUUUGAUCCUGGCUCAGGAUGAACGCUGGCGGCGUGCCUAAUACAUGCAAGUCGAACGCUUCACUUCGGUGAAGAGUGGCGAACGGGUGAGUAAUACAUAAGUAACCUGGCAUCUACAGGGGGAUAACUGAUGGAAACGUCAGCUAAGACCGCAUAGGUGUAGAGAUCGCAUGAACUCUAUAUGAAAAGUGCUACGGGACUGGUAGAUGAUGGACUUAUGGCGCAUUAGCUUGUUGGUAGGGUAACGGCCUACCAAGGCGACGAUGCGUAGCCGACCUGAGAGGGUGACCGGCCACACUGGGACUGAGACACGGCCCAGACUCCUACGGGAGGCAGCAGUAGGGAAUUUUCGGCAAUGGGGGAAACCCUGACCGAGCAACGCCGCGUGAAGGAAGAAGUAAUUCGUUAUGUAAACUUCUGUCAUAGAGGAAGAACGGUGGAUAUAGGGAAUGAUAUCCAAGUGACGGUACUCUAUAAGAAAGCCACGGCUAACUACGUGCCAGCAGCCGCGGUAAUACGUAGGUGGCGAGCGUUAUCCGGAAUUAUUGGGCGUAAAGAGGGAGCAGGCGGCACUAAGGGUCUGUGGUGAAAGAUCGAAGCUUAACUUCGGUAAGCCAUGGAAACCGUAGAGCUAGAGUGUGUGAGAGGAUCGUGGAAUUCCAUGUGUAGCGGUGAAAUGCGUAGAUAUAUGGAGGAACACCAGUGGCGAAGGCGACGAUCUGGCGCAUAACUGACGCUCAGUCCCGAAAGCGUGGGGAGCAAAUAGGAUUAGAUACCCUAGUAGUCCACGCCGUAAACGAUGAGUACUAAGUGUUGGGUGUCAAAGCUCAGUGCUGCAGUUAACGCAAUAAGUACUCCGCC